This 865-nucleotide ribosomal RNA is filed under the name Setoseptoria arundinacea. RNAcentral's name for it is "eukaryotic LSU rRNA". It matches the Rfam family "Eukaryotic large subunit ribosomal RNA", at positions 56 to 935 of the family's 3401-position model. The record is from RNAcentral. Lineage: Eukaryota; Fungi; Ascomycota; Dothideomycetes; Pleosporales; Lentitheciaceae.
GAAAAGAAACCAACAGGGAUUGCCCUAGUAACGGCGAGUGAAGCGGCAACAGCUCAAAUUUGAAAUCUGGCCUUCUUUGGGGGUCCGAGUUGUAAUUUGCAGAGGGUGCUUUGGUGUUGACAGCGGUCUAAGUUCCUUGGAACAGGACGUCACAGAGGGUGAGAAUCCCGUACGUGGUCGCUUGCCUCCGCCGUGUAAAGCCCCUUCGACGAGUCGAGUUGUUUGGGAAUGCAGCUCUAAAUGGGAGGUAAAUUUCUUCUAAAGCUAAAUACUGGCCAGAGACCGAUAGCGCACAAGUAGAGUGAUCGAAAGAUGAAAAGCACUUUGGAAAGAGAGUCAAACAGCACGUGAAAUUGUUGAAAGGGAAGCGCUUGCAGCCAGACUUGCCCGUAGUUGCUCACCCGGACUUUUGCCCGGGGCACUCUUCUGCGGGCAGGCCAGCAUCAGUUUGGGCGACCGGAUAACGGCCUCUGUCAUGUAUCUUCCUUCGGGAUGACCUUAUAGGGGAGGCGUAAUGCGGCCAGCCCGGACUGAGGUCCGCGCUUCGGCUAGGAUGCUGGCGUAAUGGCUGUAAGCGGCCCGUCUUGAAACACGGACCAAGGAGUCUAACAUCUAUGCGAGUGUUUGGGUGUCAAGCCCGGGCGCGUAAUGAAAGUGAACGGAGGUGGGAACCCUUUCGGGGGCGCACCAUCGACCGAUCCUGAUGUCUUCGGAUGGAUUUGAGUAAGAGCAUAGCUGUUGGGACCCGAAAGAUGGUGAACUAUGCUUGAAUAGGGUGAAGCCAGAGGAAACUCUGGUGGAGGCUCGCAGCGGUUCUGACGUGCAAAUCGAUCGUCAAAUUUGGGCAUAGGGGCGAAAGACUAAU